RNAcentral lists this ribosomal RNA (255 nucleotides) under uncultured bacterium. RNAcentral's name for it is "partial 16S ribosomal RNA". It matches the Rfam family "Bacterial small subunit ribosomal RNA", at positions 524 to 776 of the family's 1533-position model. The record is from RNAcentral.
UACGUAGGGGGCGAGCGUUGUCCGGAGUUACUGGGCGUAAAGCGCACGCAGGCGGUCUGUUAAGUUUGGAGUGACAGUUGGUGGCUUAACUGCCAAAGUGCUUCGAAAACUCGACAGACUUGAGGGCUUCAGAGGGACACGGAAUUCCGGGUGGAGUGGUGAAAUGCGUAGAGAUCCGGAGGAACACCAAAGGCGAAGGCAGUGUCCUGGGGAGUACCUGACGCUCGAGGUGCGAAAGCCAGGGGAGCGAACGGG